Long non-coding RNA from Felis catus (domestic cat), 2015 nucleotides. RefSeq lists it as uncharacterized. The transcript is spliced from 3 exons. Lineage: Eukaryota; Metazoa; Chordata; Mammalia; Carnivora; Felidae. The record is from RefSeq and is a predicted model, not a curated record.
AGUGGGUCCCAAUGCGUGUCCUCCCGUGUCCGCGAGUCUGACGACCCCGGGGCCUCAUGGGAGUGGGAUCCUACAGUGUCCGUCCUUCCGUGUGUGUUUUGUGUCACUCAGCCUCCCGUCCUCCGCGUUCAUGCAGGUGGCGGCCGGUGCCAGGAUUUCCUUGCUUGUUAAGGCUGAGUGGUAGUCCAUCGUGUGGCCGGACCACACUGUGGUCGUCUGUCGGUGGACGCCUGGGUCGCUUCCACCUCUCGGCCGCCGGGAAUCCUGCCGCCGCGAACGUGGGCGAGCGGGUGUCUCUUCGGGUCCUGCUUCCGGUUCUUCUGGGGAUAGACCGGAAGCGGGAUCGCUGGUCACGUGAGCUUCUAUGCUUCGCUUUCUGAGGACCAACCGUGCUGCUUUCCAGAGUGUCUGCACCAGCUGGCAUUUUCACGGGCAAGUGCCCCGGUUGCUCCACGUCCUUGCCGAUACUUGUUUUGUUGGGUUUUGCUUGCUACGAGAACCAUCCUGACGGGGUGAGGCGGCAGGAACCCCGUGUGGCAGUGACCCGCGUUUCCCAAAGAUUCAGUGAUGUUGAGCGUCUUCCCGUGCUCGCUGGACAUUCGGUUUCCCCCCUCGAGAAACGUCUGGUCGAGUCCUCGCUCAGUUUUGAACUGGGCUGGUGUCUGUUGUGGACAGCCAGGGAUGGUUGCCAUCCCGCAUGAUCUUCCGGAACCUUCCUCGUCAAGGAGUAGUUUCCGUGUCCCCUCCCUUGAACCUGGGCAGACUUCAGUGACGCCCUUGACUGGUGGCAGAGACAGCUUCCAAGGGCACUUACAGGCUGAACCGUGUCCCCCUACGUUGAAGUCCUGACCCAGAGCCCCAGCACCUGGCCCCAGCCUCAUCGCAGUUGUAAGUAGCGACGACAGGGGUGGAUUCCCAAUGCAAUGUGACCUGAUAAAAAGGGGACAUUUGGACACAGACACACAGGGGGACGCCACGGGAGGAUGAUGGCAGAGGUUGGGGGACGCAUCUACCUGCCGAGGGACGCCAGAGGCGGCCAGCAAACCACCUGCAGCUGGGCCCUCCCCCGAGUCUCGGGGGGGUGGGGGGUGGCACGGGAACCAGCCCCGCCACACCUCGAUCUUGGAGCUCAGCCUCCAGAGAGGGGCGACAGUGAACUUCAGGUGUGGAAGCCACCCGGUCUGUGGCUCUCGUUAAGGAGCCCCUGGAAAGUAACACAGGCCUGCAUCUGCCAGUUGGGGGCAGGGAGGCGAGGCUGCCGGCCGAGUUCUGCCCCCGGGGGAGGCAGGUGCGUGGGGAGGCCUGCCUCCAUGCUGUGUACCAGAGCAGGGUCCUCACCCCCCACCCAGUGGGUGGUCCAUCGGCCAGCGUACGUGUCUGCGCCGCUGAGGGCCAACAGUUUCCAGGGGCGGGCAAACAUCGACGGAGCGCCGGCUGUGUGCUUCACACACGGUUCAAACGUGACAACAGACAAACUCCUAUCUGUCCUUCAAAACCCAGCUCAGGGGUCACCUCCUCCUUGAACGGCUUCCCUUUAGUAACUUCCGAAGAGAAAGGGAACAGCCACAGUCUGUGCAACCUGGGUCCCUUAGCGUCCCCUUAUUUGCCACCGCGGACCCCUAAACAAAAGGCACAGAGCCGUGAGCACCCGCCAGUCUUGUUCAUCCCCGUGCCCUAGCGCUCAACACAAGGCCUAGUGAGCAGUAGCCUCUAAGGAAUGCUUGUGAAGUAAGUCAACAGCCAAAUGUUUGGUCUGGUGGACUUGGUCCAGUGGAACUGAGCUGAGUCUCUGGGUUGGCUCUUAAGGAGACCAGCAAGGCCUCACGUUGCUAACUACAAGGAGAACGUGGCCUGUUGGUGCCCUGCCGUGGACACCUGCUGCACACCAGAAUCUAAGGGGAAAUCCAGGAGGUCUUCUUGGAGGAGGAGACAUCUGAGAAUACUUUUUUUUUUUUAAUGUUUAUUUAUUUUUGAGAGACAGAGAGAGACAGAGUGCAAGCAGGGGAGGGGCAGAG